This 305-nucleotide ribosomal RNA is filed under the name uncultured bacterium. RNAcentral's name for it is "bacterial SSU rRNA". It matches the Rfam family "Bacterial small subunit ribosomal RNA", at positions 337 to 659 of the family's 1533-position model. The record is from RNAcentral.
GCCUACGGGACGCAGCAGUGGGGAAUAUUGCACAAUGGGGGAAACCCUGAUGCAGCGACGCCGCGUGAGCGAUGAAGUAUUUCGGUAUGUAAAGCUCUAUCAGCAGGGAAGAAAAUGACGGUACCUGACUAAGAAGCCCCGGCUAACUACGUGCCAGCAGCCGCGGUAAUACGUAGGGGGCAAGCGUUAUCCGGAUUUACUGGGUGUAAAGGGAGCGUAGACGGUCCUGCAAGCCAGGUGUGAAAGCCCGGGGCCCAACCCCGGAACUGCUCUGGAAACUGUGCGGCUAGAGUACUGGAGGGGCA